GUACUUUCCCGAGCAAUGUGAAUGGUGGGGGAUUUUACUUGAAGAAGUAAUUUUGAGGAAUUUUUACUGUAUGUAUUCAGGAAUCUUCACUUCAGAUGAAGUUGUGGGAGCUGUUGGAGUUACUGC
Long non-coding RNA from Humulus lupulus (European hop), 126 nucleotides. RefSeq lists it as uncharacterized. The record is from RefSeq and is a predicted model, not a curated record. NCBI's taxonomy places the organism in Eukaryota, Viridiplantae, Streptophyta, Magnoliopsida, Rosales, Cannabaceae. The transcript is spliced from 3 exons.